AGAGUUUGAUCCUGGCUCGGGAUGAACGCUAGCUACAGGCUUAACACAUGCAAGUCGAGGGGCAGCAUUUUAGUUUGCUUGCAAACUAAAGAUGGCGACCGGCGCACGGGUGAGUAACACGUAUCCAACCUGCCGAUAACUCUGGGAUAGCCUUUCGAAAGAAAGAUUAAUACCGGAUGGCAUAGGAUUAUCGCAUGAUAAUCCUAUUAAAGAAUUUCGGUUAUCGAUGGGGAUGCGUUCCAUUAGGCAG
This 250-nucleotide ribosomal RNA is filed under the name uncultured bacterium. RNAcentral's name for it is "partial 16S ribosomal RNA". It matches the Rfam family "Bacterial small subunit ribosomal RNA", at positions 8 to 248 of the family's 1533-position model. The record is from RNAcentral.